This 626-nucleotide ribosomal RNA is filed under the name uncultured beta proteobacterium. RNAcentral's name for it is "bacterial SSU rRNA". It matches the Rfam family "Bacterial small subunit ribosomal RNA", at positions 211 to 826 of the family's 1533-position model. The record is from RNAcentral. Lineage: Bacteria; Pseudomonadati; Pseudomonadota; Betaproteobacteria.
CCUUGCGCUAAACGAGCAGCCGAUGGAAGAUUAGCUAGUUGGUGGGGUAAAGGCUCACCAAGGCGACGAUCUUUAGCGGGUCUGAGAGGACGAUCCGCCACACUGGAACUGAGACACGGUCCAGACUCCUACGGGAGGCAGCAGUGGGGAAUUUUGGACAAUGGGGGCAACCCUGAUCCAGCAAUGCCGCGUGAGUGAAGAAGGCCUUCGGGUUGUAAAGCUCUUUUGUUAGGGAAGAAAAGGUUGGUAAUAAUACUGCCAGCUGAUGACGGUACCUAAAGAAUAAGCACCGGCUAACUACGUGCCAGCAGCCGCGGUAAUACGUAGGGUGCAAGCGUUAAUCGGAAUUACUGGGCGUAAAGCGUGCGCAGGCGGUCUCGUAAGUCAGAUGUGAAAUCCCCGAGCUCAACUUGGGAACUGCAUCCGAAACUGCGACACUAGAGUGUGUCAGAUGGAGGUAGAAUUCCACGUGUAGCACUGAAAUGCGUAGAUAUGUGGAGGAAUACCAGUGGCGAAGGCGGCCUCCUGGGAUAACACUGACCCUCAUGUACGAAAAGCGUGGGGAGCAAACAGGAUUAGAUACCCCUGGUAGUCCACGCACCUAAACGAUGUCAACUGGUUGUUGG